This 105-nucleotide microRNA precursor is filed under the name Canis lupus dingo (dingo). RNAcentral's name for it is "mir-8834 microRNA precursor family". It matches the Rfam family "mir-8834 microRNA precursor family". Lineage: Eukaryota; Metazoa; Chordata; Mammalia; Carnivora; Canidae. The record is from Rfam by way of RNAcentral.
AGGAGGAACAGCCCCAGUGGCGGGGCCAGCUCUGGAAACCUGGAUUCAGCUCCCACAGUAACUCCGGAGCUCUCCGUCUGCAGGGCCUGGAGGCUCCGGGCGGGG